CCUACGGGUGGCUGCAGUGGGGAAUAUUGCACAAUGGGGGAAACCCUGAUGCAGCAACGCCGCGUGAAUGAAGAAGUAAUUCGUUAUGUAAAGCUCUAUCAGCAGGGAAGAAAAUGACGAUGCCUGAGUAAGAAGCCACGGCUAACUACGUGCCAGCAGCCGCGGUAAUACUGAGGGGGCAAGCGUUAUCCGGAUUUACUGGGUGUAAAGGGAGCGUAGACGGCAGUGCAAGUCUGAAGUGAUAGGGGGGGGCUCAACCCACAGACUGCUCUGGACACUGUACGGCUGGAGUGAAGGAGAGGUAGGUGGAAUUCCUGGUGUAGCGGUGGAAUGCGUAGAUAGUAGGAGGAACACCAGUGGCGAAGGCGGCUUACUGGACAGUAACUGACGUUGAGGCUCGAAAGCGUGGGGAGCAAACAGGAUUAGAUACCCUGGUAGUC
RNAcentral lists this ribosomal RNA (440 nucleotides) under uncultured bacterium. RNAcentral describes it as "partial 16S ribosomal RNA". It matches the Rfam family "Bacterial small subunit ribosomal RNA", at positions 338 to 795 of the family's 1533-position model. The record is from RNAcentral.